RNAcentral lists this ribosomal RNA (720 nucleotides) under uncultured bacterium. Its description in RNAcentral is "bacterial SSU rRNA". It matches the Rfam family "Bacterial small subunit ribosomal RNA", at positions 70 to 803 of the family's 1533-position model. The record is from RNAcentral.
GAAGUUUUCGGAUGGAAUUUGAUUGACUGAGUGGCGGACGGGUGAGUAACGCGUGGAUAACCUGCCUCACACUGGGGGAUAACAGUUAGAAAUGACUGCUAAUACCGCAUAAGCGCACAGUACCGCAUGGUACGGUGUGAAAAACUCCGGUGGUGUGAGAUGGAUCCGCGUCUGAUUAGCCAGUUGGCGGGGUAACGGCCCACCAAAGCGACGAUCAGUAGCCGACCUGAGAGGGUGACCGGCCACAUUGGGACUGAGACACGGCCCAAACUCCUACGGGAGGCAGCAGUGGGGAAUAUUGCACAAUGGGCGAAAGCCUGAUGCAGCGACGCCGCGUGAGUGAAGAAGUAUUUCGGUAUGUAAAGCUCUAUCAGCAGGGAAGAAAAUGACGGUACCUGACUAAGAAGCCCCGGCUAACUACGUGCCAGCAGCCGCGGUAAUACGUAGGGGGCAAGCGUUAUCCGGAUUUACUGGGUGUAAAGGGAGCGUAGACGGCGAAGCAAGUCUGAAGUGAAAACCCAGGGCUCAACCCUGGGACUGCUUUGGAAACUGUUUUGCUAGAGUGUCGGAGAGGUAAGUGGAAUUCCUAGUGUAGCGGUGAAAUGCGUAGAUAUUAGGAGGAACACCAGUGGCGAAGGCGGCUUACUGGACGAUAACUGACGUUGAGGCUCGAAAGCGUGNGGGGCAAACAGGAUUAGAUACCCUGGUAGUCCACGCCGU